This 406-nucleotide ribosomal RNA is filed under the name uncultured bacterium. RNAcentral's name for it is "partial 16S ribosomal RNA". It matches the Rfam family "Bacterial small subunit ribosomal RNA", at positions 28 to 526 of the family's 1533-position model. The record is from RNAcentral.
GAUGAACGCUAGCUACAGGCUUAACACAUGCAAGUCGAGGGACCGGCGCACGGGUGAGUAACACUUAUACAACCUGCCCUUUACCCGGGGAUAGGCUUUCGAAUGAAAGACUAAUACCAGAUAUAUAGGAGUGGGAUGCGUUCCUUUAGCUUGUUGGUGAGGUAACGGCCCACCAAGCCUUCGCCGGAUAGGGGUUCUGAGAUGAAGGUCCACCACAUUGGAACUAAGACACGGUCCAAACUCCGACGUGAGGCAGCAGUGAGGAAGAUUGGGCAAUGGGCGCUAGCCUGAACCAGCCAAGUGGCGUGAAGGAUUAAGGCGUAUGGAUCGUAAACUUCUUUUAUAUAAGAAUAUGUAUUAUAUGAAUAAGGAUCGGCUAACUCCGUGCCAGCAGCCGCGGUAAUAC